AAUCAACGCUGGCGGCGUGCCUAACACAUGCAAGUCGAACGCGAAAGUUCCUUCGGGGACGAGUAGAGUGGCGUCCGGGUGAGUAACGCGUGGGUAAUCUGCCUUUGGGUGGGGGAGUAACUCAGGGAAACGUUAGGGCGUAAUAACCGCAUAAUGCAGCGGCUCGACAUCGAGACAGUUGUUUAAAGACAGCAAUGCGCCUGAAGAGGAGCC
RNAcentral lists this ribosomal RNA (213 nucleotides) under uncultured bacterium. RNAcentral describes it as "partial 16S ribosomal RNA". It matches the Rfam family "Bacterial small subunit ribosomal RNA", at positions 32 to 231 of the family's 1533-position model. The record is from RNAcentral.